This 1067-nucleotide ribosomal RNA is filed under the name Candidatus Saccharimonadota bacterium. RNAcentral's name for it is "bacterial SSU rRNA". It matches the Rfam family "Bacterial small subunit ribosomal RNA", at positions 1 to 1104 of the family's 1533-position model. The record is from RNAcentral. Lineage: Bacteria; Candidatus Saccharimonadota.
UUAACUGAGAGUUUGAUCCUGGCUCAGGAUAAACGCUGGCGGCGUGCCUAAUACAUGCAAGUCGUACGGAAACACUUCGGGUGUCGAGUGGCGGACGGGUGAGUAAUACGCAGGAAUAUACCCCAAAGUGAGGGAUAACUAUCUGAAAAGAUAGCUAAUACCGCAUGUGAUCUUUGGAUUAAAGCUUUUUAUGAAGCGCUUUGGGAAUAGCCUGUGGCGGAUUAGCUAGUUGGUAAGGUAAAGGCUUACCAAGGCGAUGAUCCGUAGCUGGUUUGAGAGGAUGAUCAGCCACACUGGGACUGAGACACGGCCCAGACUCCUACGGGAGGCAGCAGUAAGGAAUUUUUCGCAAUGGACGAAAGUCUGACGGAGCAACGCCGCGUGCAGGACGAAGGUCUUCGGAUCGUAAACUGCUUUUGUUAGUGACGAAUAUGACGGUAACUAACGAAUAAGGAUCUGCUAACUACGUGCCAGCAGCAGCGGUCAUACGUAGGAUCCAAGCGUUAUCCGGAUUUACUGGGCGUAAAGAGUUGCGUAGGCGGUUAAUUAAGCGAUAUAUGAAAGCGUGUGGCUUAACCAUACAAUUGUCUAUCGAACUGGUUAACUAGAGUCUAGAAGAGGUCACCGGAAUUUUUAGUGGAGGAGUGAAAUCCGUAGAUAUUAGAAGGAACACCGAUGGCGUAGGCAGGUGACUGGUCUAUGACUGACGCUCAGGCACGAAAGCGUGGGUAGCGAACGGGAUUAGAUACCCCGGUAGUCCACGCCGUAAACGAUGGAUGCUAGCUGUCCGAGGUUCAACCCUUUGGGUAGCGUCGCUAACGCUUUAAGCAUCCCGCCUGUGGAGUACGAGCGCAAGCUUAAAACAUAAAGGAAUUGACGGGGACCUGCACAAGCGGUGGAGCGUGUUGUUUAAUUCGAUGAUAAGCGAAGGACCUUACCAAGGUUUGACAUCCUACUAAGUCUUGGGAAACUAAGAUGUGCCUUUUGGCUGUAGUGACAGGUGAUGCAUGGCCGUCGUCAGCUCGUGUCGUGAGAUGUUGGGUUAAGUCCCGCAACGAGCGCAACCC